GCCGGAAACUCUCAUUAAAGGCCUCAGAAACUCACCUCACCUCACCUCACCUCACCUUAACGUUGCUGCUCUGGAUCUAAAAAAUUCUGUACCCUACAUCAUCUCAUGAACACUCAGCUCAUCUUCAAGGUGUCAAAAUGGCAACUUGCAAUUCUGAUGGGAUUCAAAAGGAAAAGGAAAAAACCAAAACAAUUCUUUGAUAAGAAAGUUCGUGGAUUCAUGAUGUUUUUCUCAGUUUUAGAAGAGGAUAUACGUUUAGGAUGGUUGCGGAUCAUCUCUACUCGGCUCUUAAAAUGACAAUGAAUUGUUGCUUGUGGCUUUGGUUUUGUUUAACAAAAAAAGACCCGAAGUUAACUAGAGCAACGAUUCAGUGGAGGGAGCCGGAUAAUAAUCACAACUAGAGAUGUUGUUUAUUAAAGGACUUGCAAAGUAAAUGUGGUUUACACUAUUAGCUUGUUAAAAGACAUUUAGAUUAACAAGUGUUUCAGCAAGCGUGCAUCAAGGGUAGUUACAAGUAUAUAUUUGUAUAUGAGAAAAAAGUUGUUUAAAAUUAAGAACCCUAGGAUGAAAGCUAAAUGAUUGUCUUUGGAUAUAAUCACCACACUUACUCAAACCAUAAUAGAAACCAUCCUAUGUUUUUUACCAAUUGAAGAGGCAGCAAGGACAAGUAUCCUCUCAAGGGAAUGAAGGUACAAAUGGACCACCAUUCCUAAAUUUUUUGGAAUGCAAAUUAUGGAGAUAAGUAAACUUUUGUGUGCUAUACACUAAGUUAUGUUACUGCGCCAAGAUCCAAUACAUGAGUUCACCCUUUGCAUGUAUGAAGUUGGCCUCUUUUCCAAAAUUGAUUACCCUUUUUGUGAAAUCGAUCAAAAUAAUACUUCAUUUGUCGAGGAACCAUAUCAUCAAGAAAUUAGCACUUGAGUUUGAUGCAUCUAGAAUUUGUUCGUAUAAUUUACCCUUCUCCGUCUUCUCAUUGUAUCACUUAGCGGAACUAUAUCUCAGUUGAUGUGGUUUUGACCACCAACUUGUAUUUAAUGGAUUUGGUAGCUUCAUAAUCCUAUCCUUGGAUUUUAUAAGGAUCUUGAGGAAAACACUUCUACAUCUUUUAUCGAAUUCUCCAUCACUUAAGAGCGAUGGUCUGUUUAUGCUUGAAGAACUAGUUGUGGGGCAUAAAAAUCCACCAUGAUUGAGCUAUUCGAGUGUUUACCUUUGAUUGAGCAUCGGACUAUUUGGAGUGAUAUAACUCAGGGUUUAAGUGGUUUGUUCAAGACCUGGUUCCACAAGAGCUUCCAAUCUCAUUAAUCCACCUUAAAUCAGGGCUGGCUUAACGCUUUUGUAUACCUAAAGCGAACUCUAAAUAUGAGGCCCUUUCCGGUUUUGAAUUGAUAUGUUUUUGUUACUUUAUAUCAAGUAUAUUAUUAUAUGUUAUACUUUUGUUUUAUAAAAUAAAGUAGAUUUUAUUUGGUUAUUGCUAUAUGAAUUUAACAGAAGAUUAUCACAUAAAGGCAUAUUAAUUCAUAGCUCUACAAAGAUUCAAGAUUUAACUAACCUUAGUUUUGUUAACAUAGUUAUAUACUUAUAUCUAAUCGUUAUCAUAUAUAUGAAGAUAAAAGAAAAUAAUUUUUCAGCUUGCUUAAACAUUUUCCGGUAAUCAUUGAAUAUGAAAUUGGAAUCUCAAUUUUUUUUGCCCAUUAACAUAUCUCAUUUUUUCUUCUACGUAAACCAAUAAAAAAAAUAAUAUGAUCUUCAAUUUUUUAAAUGGGAGGCCCUUAGAGGAGUGAGGCCCAAAGCAAAAGUCUUAACUGGCUUGCCCUUAAGCCGGCUUUGCCUUAAAUACUUUCGUUUUUAACAAAUAUCUUUUCAUGAGAGCUAUCGGUUGACUUUUCUUUCUGUUUCGAUCAAAAACUCCCUGAACUUGGGAAAAAAAAUCGAGCUAGAGAUUGAUACAGAACAUUAUCUCUCUAAUGAGAUAGACUAUGAUCCCGAUGUAUAUGAAGAAUAUCAUUCAGAUGUUUGGUUGGAGCAUGUAAUUGAAUUGAAGAUUAUAUAUUUCAGCAGCUUGGAGCUUGAAUUGAAAGGAUCAAGAGUUGGGGAUGUUAAAAAUACUCUUGCGCGCCCCACGCGCGUCUGCGGUUGAAAUUGAUGCUGUUUAGAUCACUUGAGUUUCUCUAGAAUUAAGGUUGAGAUUUAUGAUUGUAAUCUAGAAUUUUUGUACUGCUACCUGUUUUUCUAUAUCUAUUUCUGGAAUUCAUUGGAUGUA
Long non-coding RNA from Helianthus annuus (common sunflower), 2260 nucleotides. RefSeq lists it as uncharacterized. The record is from RefSeq and is a predicted model, not a curated record. NCBI's taxonomy places the organism in Eukaryota, Viridiplantae, Streptophyta, Magnoliopsida, Asterales, Asteraceae. The transcript has 6 exons.